RNAcentral lists this ribosomal RNA (198 nucleotides) under uncultured bacterium. RNAcentral's name for it is "partial 16S ribosomal RNA". It matches the Rfam family "Bacterial small subunit ribosomal RNA", at positions 328 to 539 of the family's 1533-position model. The record is from RNAcentral.
ACGCUCGACACCUACGGGGGGCAGCAGUGGGGAAUAUUGCACAAUGGGGGAAACCCGUGAUGCGGCGACGCCGCGUGAGCGAAGAAGUAUUUCGGUAUGUAAAGCUCUAUCAGCAGGGAAGAAACUGACGGUACCUGACUAAGAAGCACCGGCUAAAUACGUGCCACAGCCGCGGUAAUCUGAGCGGGCUGGCAAGGC